Molecule: ribosomal RNA, 475 nt
Filed under: uncultured bacterium
Lineage: Bacteria
Description: bacterial SSU rRNA
Rfam family: Bacterial small subunit ribosomal RNA
Source: RNAcentral
GAUGAACGCUGGCGGCGUGCCUAACACAUGCAAGUCGAGCGAUCUUCUUCGGAAGAGAGCGGCGGACGGGUGAGUAACGCGUGGGUAACCUGCCCUGUACACACGGAUAACAUACCGAAAGGUAUGCUAAUACGAGAUAAUAUACUUUUAUCGCAUGGUAGAAGUAUCAAAGCUCCGGCGGUACAGGAUGGACCCGCGUCUGAUUAGCUAGUUGGUAAGGUAACGGCUUACCAAGGCGACGAUCAGUAGCCGACCUGAGAGGGUGAUCGGCCACAUUGGAACUGAGACACGGUCCAAACUCCUACGGGAGGCAGCAGUGGGGAAUAUUGCACAAUGGGCGAAAGCCUGAUGCAGCAACGCCGCGUGAGCGAUGAAGGCCUUCGGUCGUAAAGCUCUGUCCUCAGAAGAUAAUGACGGUACUUGAGGAGGAAGCCCCGGCUAACUACGUGCCAGCAGCCGCGGUAAACGUAGCGUG